Molecule: long non-coding RNA, 5424 nt
Organism: Anarrhichthys ocellatus (wolf-eel)
Lineage: Eukaryota; Metazoa; Chordata; Actinopteri; Perciformes; Anarhichadidae
Exons: 2
Source: RefSeq, a predicted model, not a curated record
GGUGUCUCGCCCGCCAAACAUUCAUCUGUUUGUGCUGCUGAUAGCAUGGGUGACAACAAGAUAAUGCCUUGCUUUUACUUUCCUCUCACUUUCCCCCUCUUUCUCCCUUCUUUCCGUCUUUUGUUGAUCUCUUUUACUCUGUUUUGCCCUAUUCUGUGGGAUUUGGUUUUCUGUCUUUGAACUAAACUGUAUUCUGAGUUAGCAGAAUGAUAAACUGGUACAAUAGACUUUUCGUCUGGCAUAAAUUGUCCCCCGAUUUUCAUGGGAAGGAUGUGGGUGAGAAGUGUUAGGGUACAACGACAAAGGCCAUUUGAGGAUACAAAGUUUCUCUCAAGUUACCAUGGUUGUAAACAGCAAGGCCCUUUGUGAAAAUCUUAUUUUCUUGUAGAACAUGAUAAUAUGCAACAUUGGCUUAAGAUAUUUGAGUAGCAAACCUUUUUUUUGUUAGAGUUCGAAGUCCCUCUUUGUAUUUGCUAUCGCCAUCCUGAAUCGCAUGUGACGGAACAGUGAUUAUGGCCAUCGUUUAAGCUGAUUUGGCGUCCUGUGGUGCGAGACAUUGGGCUGAGAAACCCUGAUGGGACAGCUGGUUUUAGACUCACAGAUUGUGUCGUUCAGUGCCCAAUACAUUCUUCAAGAUCGCAAACUGGCAGAUUAGCUUAGCCCGCUAGGAAUGACAAGGGGGAAGCAAGCAGUAGGGUAACGAUGAUGUAAAAAGAAUCGUUGUCGUGUUCCAGUCGGAGGCAGGAAAGCAACCUCCCCGCAACCCCACCCUCACACAAACACACCCCUGUUGGGAUUUUGGCAAGUUGUCAUGACGACAGGGAUGUUCUCCUGAUGAAGUCUCGCUCAGCGCUGUCCAAUCAGAUCGUGGAGCUACAACCGCAGCGUGAACAGGGGAGGACGCACCUAUUCCAGUUGCACAAUGCUGAGAAAGGACAGGCGAAAAACUGGACCACCAACGGGAAAUCGGCAAUCCGGGGGAGGCUGUCAAUGGGCUGCCAUGGUUCGACAAUACACAAACAGCGGGGGUCGUGGAUACAGGGGCUGCCAGGGCUCAAAGCGAGGCGUCCGCAGCCAGCCAUGGGAAAGAGCUGUCGACAAGGUGGCUCAGCUGGCAGUGCCCAGGGCUCCCAUGGGCCGAGAGCUGCCUGACGAUGAGAGUCAAGGACGCUGAAGGAUGACAAGGGACAGCUGGCGAAGCGGAGGACUCUUCACUCUCUGAGCAGACACUAAGGACCGCAGUCAACAGUGAAAGAUUGGUCGAUAAGGAGUAAGGUUCAGUGCCCUUUCCUUUUCCAUUUGUACAAUCACAAAGCCCCCAUAGGACUCAUUGCAAGUUUGUGCUUGUGUUUUUUUUGUAUGUAUGAAGCUUACUGCCAGUGCCUAUAAUAAGCAUGUAGCUCUUCAUUUGAUCAUUGCAUUUCUUUCACUCUCAAAUGCUCAUGUUUUUCUGUAAAUAUCCAUGUUUUCAUUAAUUCAUUUAUAGUGAUUUGUAAUAUUGAGUCCACAUUACUCCUCUUUGCAUGAACGUUUUGCUUUCAAUUAGUGAGACCGGUCUAGUCAACGACGCCUCCCCUGUCUUAACCUCAUGCCAGUGGUUGCUGACAGACCUCUGGCCUGUCAGGGUUACGUCAACGAUCCUCAGAAAGAGUUUCCACCGCUACUCACAGCUGUGUAGGAGGUCAUCACUUUUACAUGUCGAUCCCCGCAAAUUAGGUUUUGAGGAUUUGGCAAGGGCCGGUGCAUGCAUAGAUGGAUGGAUAGAUGGAGUUUGUAGAGGGUGAGGUACUGUGAGAGAGCUGUGGUUUGGCCCGACGUGUCGCUGUUUCCGUAGCUGCUGUCACUCCUCAGAUUACCCGACCAAAAGGCUUUUCGUUGCCAGUUGGCAAAUUAUGUAACGUUUUCUUUUUCUGAGUUGAAAUCAAAAUCCCCACUAGAUGCAUUCACAUUGUUUUAAGGCAUAUUUAGGGAAGGGUUCACUCACAGUCCAUAAUAUCAGUAAUUAUAAAUACAUCACAGACGGUAUGGUAAAUCAGUGUGCAGGAAAUAAUGAUCAUGGCUGUGUGGCCGUGCUUUCCAUCAAAGACAAUGUCUUCAUGGAGCACAUGUGUGUGUCAGGCAUCAUCUGCUGUAGAUUAUUGUAGGAUGAGAAUGUCUGUGUGUUGAUCCGGCCCCCACCAUUUUGUCACCAUAUGUCACCCCUUAUUCCCUUUGUUGUGAUAUAAUCUGUGCAUGACCUACCACAUUUUUGAAAGUUUUCUUUCUUUCUGAAACAAAAUGAGAAUUUAUUGUAUUUCUUUCUCUAAUGGAACAACCCAUAAUUCAUUUAAAAAAAGACCUGCCACCAUAGACCAUAGACAAUGAAGCAUUGAGUUCUGUCUUUUGGUCAGCACCGUCUUGUUAUUUUUCCAACCAGAAUUGUCACGAGAGAGUGGAGCUAAGUUCAGCCGACCACUGAACACAUGUUUAAGCAAUCAAAAUGUUACAAUUAACUUUCAUGAACCAAAACACUAUGGAAAGAGUUGUAAUACGAAAACAUUGACUACUCUCAGACAACAACGUGGUAACGACCUGUCAAUUACAAGGUUGCCAGGCCCUAAAGCAAACCCUGCAUUUCUGUCUACUCUAAAUGGACCAUAGUUUACCGAAUGAGCAUAGUGCUGUAUUGAAAAACAUCUCCACUCCCUACCUCAGCCCCUUUCUCUGGCUCUCUCUAAGCCGGUUGGAGAUGCAUUCUUCAUUCCUAGAAUGCACACAGAAAUGUUCAACUCUCUGGCAUCAGCACUUCUUAAAAAGGGCUGUUGCCACCGCUGCUCCUUCAGCACACACCCCCCGCCACCCCAUAAAAAAAAGUCCUGGACAGAGAAAGAAUGAUGAGAGUGGAAGGAAGAAAAUCCGCUAAAUCCGCCAAACCCAGGAAUGUAUUUUCAUGAAAACAAGUUUGUUUGAAGGGAUUGGGAAAGUGAGGUGGGCAGUAUCAGAAGUGAUCAGACCCAAUAGCUCAAUGGCUGCAGUACUACAUGUAUUUGAGAAGCAGAGAAUGAGGAUGCAUUGCAUCUGCUGUAGGCACACAUAUACGCAUGGAGGCUUUUUUGGCUGCAAGACUUGCUAACGGGAGUUUAUCAGUUAAGGAGAAAGCUCCUAUCUUAAAUCCCUGUUUUGCUGCUUUUCGCUUGGAGGAGUAGUAUUUCUAUGUGUAUGUGAUAGGAUGUUUAUGUGUGAGUGCAUGUUUAUGUGUGUGUGUGUUGUUUCUGCCACUAAAGCCAUCAUCCCUCCAGUCCACACGUCUAGAUUUAUUUCUCCCUGGUCAGCCUCCAGGAGAGGUAAUUACCAACCACAGGAACACAGACCUUCCUAGAAGAAGCUUGGCGUAACACACUAACCUUCCACUGUCUUAAAUGUGACUGGCAAACGGGGACUAAAAACACAGAGCUACAUUAUCCCCCUCUACCCCCUUUACCGCUGCAAAAAUGUAUAGUGUACAUAUAAAUGUGUAACAUGGCCACAUUUUUUAUUCUUCACCUUGUCCAUCCUUUUCUCUUAAAACUGUUCUGGUCAAUAUUUGUUACUAUUAUUACUGUGAAAGACGUCGCCCGUAAGGGUGAUUCUUGACUCUAAAGUUACCCUCAGCUCUGUAAAGCACUUUAACGUCUUUAAGCUCAUUGUUAUCGUGUUACGGCUCGCAACUUUACUGUUUUUGUUCAGUUUCACUGCUCACAUCAACCUUGUUUCCGGCAGCAACAGGCAGCUGUUUUCAGUGAAAAAGCUCAAAUAAAUCUGCUGUAGCUGCCCAACACCAAAGAGCAUACUAGCAAACUUUAGCCCUAACUUCCCACUUUUUCAACUCAAGACGCGAGCUGAGAGGCUUAGUGAUGCAUCGCAGACACAUACCAGAUAUCUAGCAAGCCAAAUAUCUUGACCUGUCUGGGAGUCUGUCAGCCAAUAAGAGCUUAAGACACUGGUUGAGGGGAGACCUGGGGGCGGGGUCACCUGUAACGAUAGUAACUUUUCUGUACGCGUUGGAUUUGUAACACUGACCAAAUUUUUUGCUGCACCUAGGUAACAUGUGGAAACAGGCUAUUUUGUAAACAUGUGUGCCAACAACAACAUCAACAAAUUGUGGAUGCUGAAGCAGCACAGGCAGGAAGGACCCAAAUACAGAAUCAGAGAUGGGCUGAUACAAAGAAAAAUACUUUAAUCAAACAAAAAGCUUACAUGUCAAGGGUCCCAAAAAGCAAGGAGUAACAGCAGGCCGAUUACAGAUACAGAACUCCAUGCAGCAACGAAGACAAAGGAACUGGCCUGGUAUAUGUAAUCAUUGACUGAUUUGGGAAGUGACAACCAAGGUACAACAAAGCAGGAUUUAGGUUUAGCGAGGUAUUUUGAGGGUUAACCCUCAGUUUGCAGUCCUACGAUGGUGAUUCACUUCUUACCGGAGUAGAUUUCCAUGGUAACGUAUGCUGAAAACCUAACCUGCCCCCGAGCAGGUUACGUUCAAGAUAAGAGAUCAACUUGUAUAAAAACACCUCCUACUGGCCAAUCAAAGCUCUGUGCACAGAUUGUUAGAUAAUGUUAUACAUAAAUACGCACAAGGAGAUCUUACUAUAAUUUUGUGUAUUCCUUUAAAUUAAUGAGUUGUAUUGAUGACAAUAUCUUAGAUUUGUUGUAGCCUUAUUCUGUAACCCCUGAGGUGUGAAACAAACAAACAAUAAAUAAACUAUAUUAAUUCAAAGUGGGAUUUAGACUUUCAUAGGGCUGUAACAGAUAGGCGAAGCUUCAUUCAUAAUGUUGACAUUAACAUUUUAAAUAGAUUAGACUAGACUAAUUAGAUCCAUUAAUAGUAUGGUAGAACUAGAUUCCAGUGGUGGCUGCGUAAGAUCGUUUCCGACUGAUGUUUUUACAACAGCUCCAGUUGGCUGGAAAGUCCAAAAGUCACAAUUUUUAUUGAAAAUGAUAGAUGUAAUAAUUUCUUAAAUUAACAACCUACCAUUUCUUGGUAUUUAGCCUUUCAAAACCAACAUUUUCCCUAAGGAGAAAAAAACUGGUUUGUCUCCUGCAUGCAACACAUAUCCGUAUUAACGGGUGGACAGCAGUCUAACAACUGAUAAAUUACAUUAAAUUACAUUUUAUAAGUUCAAUAAUACUAAAUCUGAAUAAUUUCUCUCAUAAUAUUCAUGUCAAAUAUUUACUUAUGUGCGGAAGCUUGUUGAUCCGUGUGUUGCAGUUUUACAUGUCGGAGUUGUGCCUUACAGUCGCAUUGCCUUGCGUUACUUUGCUACCAGUGCUUUUAUGUAUGCUGUAGGUGAUUAUAAGAUAUGAAAGUGAGCCUUCUUACCACUUUGAAUUAUAUUCAUGUUGUUUUUUUAUUAGCUAACUGUUUCACACCACCAGAGUUAAAGCUGAAAGAUUAAGGCUAAAAUUGUC